UUUAGGCACAGUUGUAUCUGCCUCAAAAACCAAAGAGAAGAGAUUACACGAUUAUGCUGAUGUACGUGCACUAUCAGCUGCUAUCUGAUCUCAUGUGCUGCUAAUCUUCUGAACUCAGUCUGAGUGUGAAGAGCCUUUGAAUGACCUGAGAGGUGUGACAAUGGGGAAACACUCACACCUGAGCAUCAUUUCUCAGAGGACUUGUCCUCCCUGUGAAAUUACAUCAGGUUGCUCACAGCUGAGAUUCUCCUGCAUUGGCCUGGCUGGAAUAAAAGCAGCAGCAUGUAGCAACUCUAUGUUUCAUCCUGAGAUGGGUUGAGCUGUUUUGUGAGCUCUACUCCUUUUGGGAUGUGUGAUAAGGAUCACAAGGAAAGCCUGCAAUACAAUGAAGGAUCUGUAUUGAAAUCACUAUGCAAUCAAUGCAUGUGCAGCAAGACUGUGAGACAACUGGGUCCUUCUGCUGUCAUCAUCGCAGCUCUCCUGCUCACACUGCACCUGGUUUCUUUGUGCUGUCUGUGGUGGGUCUCCUGCUCUGCACACACGCGUGCCCUGAGGCCUGGACUGAGCAUCCUGAUCCUACCUUGUGCUGCCCCAUGUGCAGCUGGCAGCAGCAGCCCAACCCUGAGAGCUGUGUCAUGUAUGCAACGUGUCCUCCUGCUGACGUGAGGGCUCUAUGCAACACCUGGUAUCUGCCUGCAGUGAAACAAACCAUUCAGCAAAGCUCGAGAGCACAGUUUGUGCCAACAACGGUCUGUGCUGAGCAGCUCCUUCCUGCCCAGAGGUGUCCACUGGGUUCCACUCAGGAGGCUGCCAGUGCUCUGGAAAGCCAAAAAACCAUUUGGGCUGCUGCUUAAAAACCAUCUCUGUGGUAAGCUCCUUUAUGCUGUAGCAAAGCGCCCAACUGACGAGAGGAAACAGAACUGCUCAUCUUUUGGUUUGACACAAAUAAUCCAGGAUGCUGGAGAUGGGAAAAGCAGCCACACCUGCUGGUUGUCACCUGGGCAUGGUUCCUGGCAAAGAGCAGCAAGCUGGGGCUGAGGGUCAGGCUUCAGCCUCUUCCAGACAAGCCAGAAGUAGAAACUAUCUGAAGAAUCCCACAGACUCACACCCAAUGUUCAAGGGCAGCGUUUCUCCCAGCACACACAACCCUGCCCAGGAGGCUAGCAGGGUUAUAUUAUCUACAGUUUGAAUCUGGACAUGAGGAGACAGGUGCUGCAGCAAACAGGCAGGCACAUGAGCAGCUGCAGUCAAAGCAAGAGCAAGCACUCCAGGUCUGCACACUCAGCACAUUGCAUCCCGUCCCAGCAGAGCUGGAGUUGGGAAGUGAGACAGGGAGCAGCUGGGGAUGCGUCGCAGGGCUGCUGCCAAAUGGAGAGCACAGCAAGGCGAGUGCGUGGGCAGUGGGUUCAGUGAGACUAAAGGACGUGUGGCAGGGCAGCA
Coturnix japonica (Japanese quail) is the source of this 1440-nucleotide long non-coding RNA. RefSeq lists it as uncharacterized. The record is from RefSeq and is a predicted model, not a curated record. NCBI's taxonomy places the organism in Eukaryota, Metazoa, Chordata, Aves, Galliformes, Phasianidae.